This 262-nucleotide unclassified non-coding RNA is filed under the name plant metagenome. RNAcentral's name for it is "partial contains small subunit ribosomal RNA, internal transcribed spacer 1, and 5.8S ribosomal RNA". The record is from RNAcentral.
UUUCCGUAGGUGAACCUGCGGAAGGAUCAUUAUUGUAUAGCCGAGGUGCGAGGGCUGUCGCUGACCCGAAAGGUCGUGCACGCCCGAGUGCCCUCACACACAUCCAUCUCACCCCUAUGUGCACCACCGCGUGGGUCCCCCUUUGGCUUGUUCGGAGGGGGGCUUACGUUUUCACACAAACUUUGUAUGCAGUGUAGAAUGUAUUUUUGUUUUUGCGAUCACGCAAUCAAUACAACUUUCAACAACGGAUCUCUUGGCUCUC